Long non-coding RNA from Scylla paramamosain (green mud crab), 3623 nucleotides. RefSeq lists it as uncharacterized. The transcript has 2 exons. NCBI's taxonomy places the organism in Eukaryota, Metazoa, Arthropoda, Malacostraca, Decapoda, Portunidae. The record is from RefSeq and is a predicted model, not a curated record.
GUACAGAGUAAUAUCUAACUCUCUCUCUCUCUCUCUCUCUCUCUCUCUCUCUCUCUCUCUCUCUCUCUCUCUCUCUCUCUCUCUCUCUCUCUCUCUCUCUCUCUCUCUCUCUCUCUCUCUCUCUCUCUGGGAUUUUCAAGGGGGUUUUCUUGAUUCCAGUGAUAGUUUAACAGGCUCUGGUGAAAGUCAGUGGGAUUUUAAGGGUGUUUUCAUGAUUUCAGUGAGAAUUUUGACAGUUUGACAAGCUCCAGUAGAAGUUACAGAGUUUUCAAGGGUGUUUCCAUAAUUCCAGUGAUACUUUAACAGGUUCCCAUCUCUUGAUUUUCACCUGUCAUCCCCAUCCAUACAUCUGUCAAAUGCUUUAAAGCUCAGUAUUGACUCAGCACUGACAGCCUGAUUAUUGAGUCUGUUCUAUUCAUCCACCAAUCUGUUUGACUACCAUUUCCUUCCUAUCUCUUUAAAACCUUACUUAAUUAUCAAGCUUAAACCCAAUAUUUCUUGUCCUACCCUGAGAACAAACUCUGAAAUUGUAGGCGCCAUGAUACAAAGACUACAGGUCAUUUGAAUAGUGUUAGAUCAAGUUUACAAAGGACUUCAAAUAGGCAAUUGGUUUUUAAAGAUCCCUGCAUAUACUGUGAGUAAGGGCCAAGUAAAUAGUAGGUAGGGAGGGUGUGGGUAGCAGCAGGGGGUGGCUGACUUAAUGUGACCCAGCCAACCAGCCUGACCUAACCCAACCCUCCCGUGUCCCAAGUGUCCUUCAGUAGAGCAGGAAAGAUGAGGUCAAAGGGAAGGUGACUGCGAGCUUUGGGUGAAUGUGUGGUGAGGAAACUUGAGGGAGAGAAUGGAAAAUAUAAAGAAAAUAACUCUUGAAAGAAAAUAUGAAAAAUAGAAAUUGAAAUGUGAAGAAUGGAAGCUGAAAAGCGAGAGAAAUUUCAGGAAAGUACGUGAAAACCCUUGAAAUGAGAAAAAGAACAUUAAAAGAUGUGAGAAAUAAAGAUAAUAUGCAAAAAAACUCUUAAUAUGAGAAAAGAAACUUGAAAUAAAAGAAAAUAUGGAGAAAGUGCAAAAGAACUUGUUAAUGAGAAAAGAAACUUGAAAUAAAAGAGAGAGAACAAAAUAAUGAGGAAAAAAAACUUUGAAAUUUAAAUAAAACUUACAAUAUGAAUAAAAAAGAAACAUGAAAAGCAAAGGAAAAAGGUAAAAGAGCCAUUACGCUAUAUAAAGAAAUGAAGUAUAGGAAUUCCACUAUCAUAUAAGAAAAAAAGGAAAAAAAAACAUUAAUAUUUAAAGAAAACGUAUAUAUUAUAUUACUUUAAGGAAAAAAAAAAACUUCAAUAUGAUACACCGAAAAAAAAAGAUGCAUGAAAAAAAGGACGUAAGAAAAGAGGAAAGGAAAAGUUUAUCUUACAUUUACACAUUCACGUAUUUUAUGAAAGAUUUGUUGUACUUUGUCUUACUCUCCAUAACCACAGACAUACACACACGUAAUGCACCGAACUGUAAGAUAUUUGAGGGAGAAAAGAUGGAGUAUGCGAAAAUGUAUGCAACCUUCCAUUUCAUCGCCGAAUCAAUUAGAAGUUAUCAAUAUGAACAGAUUAUUUAUUUAUUUUUAUUUAUUUAUUUAUUUAUUUUUUGUCUAGUUUUUCUUCAUUUUAUGUUUAUUUUUGUUUUUUCAUUUAUUUUUAGAGGUUAUUAAUGAGCGAAUUAUUAUUUCAUUGUUUUUUUUUUUAUCUGUACUUUAUAUAUAUUUGUAACUAUCAUUUUAUCUAUAUCUUUUUUUUAUCUAUUUUUACUUAUUUUUACCCGUAUCUUCAUUUAUUUGUUACUUGCUGGUCGUAACUUGUCCUCCAUCAUUCCAUACUAAGUUAACACACUCUGCUAAGGUCAUUGUGAUAGUAGAUUGUACCGCUAGCAUCUCUGGAGAACAAACAAAGAACAACUGACAGAAGAUGAUACGAAGAUGAACCAGUAAAAAGACUCGCUAGUGGGGUUCGAGCGUGUGUCUCACGAAACUUCGGAGAGACAGUGACAUGUUUUAUACAGUCUUUUGUAAAUAAAUUUGUAAUAACUCAGCCUUUUUGUUUUGUUUCUAGCAGAGAGAGAGAGAGAGAGAGAGAGAGAGAGAGAGAGAGAGUGUGUGUGUGUGUGUGUGUGUGUGUGAUCACCAAUAGUAACACAGCUAUCGUAAAAAUGUAAUCACCUUGUCUAUCUUCUUAUGUUUCUCUUUGUCUGCCUUUCUCUCUGUCUGUCUGUCUGUCGUCUUAUAAAUCUAUCUAUCUGAAUAUCUAUCUACCCAACCUUCUACUUAUUAACUAUUUCAUUACCUGCCUAUCUAUCUACGCAUUAAUCAGCUCACUCACACUGUCUGUUGUCUAAACGUCUAUCUAUCAACCUAUCUAUUUGCGUAUCUACCUAUUUGUCUAUCUAUCUUCUUACGUAUGUCUAUAUCUAUCAAUAUCUAUCAUACCUAAUCACCUCAUGAAAUCAUCUCCAAAUAGCUUAUUUAACGAUCUCUCCUUAUUUAACUCCACUUGUCCUUACCUUACACCACAUAAAAACGUAAGAAACCAAGGGAAGCUACAAGAAGCCACCUUGCAGGCCUACACGUGGCAUGGAUGAAGACAAGUAAGUAGAAGCAGAAGUAGAAAUAAGCAUUAGUAGAGCGUGGACGAGUCGAGUGAACGAGGGAGUGAAUCAAACGCAAGGAAGAGGGACCCUAUUUUGAAACGCUUCUGCGCCGCACCUCCAGUAUAUUGAAAGGGCUCUAGUCGAAGUUAUGCGGGUUUUUGAGGGUGGUCUUAUGGUCCUAGUAACAUAUGAACGAGAUUUUUGUAUUAUUAACAGCAUAAUUACUCUUGAGAACCCUUUGGAAAUAGUCGUGGUGAGAGAGCGGUGUUUCAUAAUACGUGCUUCAUGAGACAGUUGGGGUGUUACUGCGCAUACUCGGAGGGAAAGGGUAGGAAAGAAGGAGAAAGCCGGUCACUGUAUCCUAGAGCUUCAGAGGGGCAGGGUUGUGUCCUGAGCUGAGCCGGCGCCGGAACCGGUGAGGCAGGUGACGGUGGCGGUGACGGCUGAGUCUUCAGGUGGCUCGGCAUUGUGAGGAAGGAGCGACGGGGAAGACCCGCUUUUGACAAGACACAGGAGACGAGGCAUUGUUAGAUCUUCUUCAGCUGUGGUCCGUUCCCAGCCUGCUCCAGCCACUGCCAGCCAAUCUGAGCUGUAUCAAGCCAUUCCCAGCCAUAUCAAGUGACCUUCAGCCGUCCCCAGCUUCUCUAAGUCAUUUCCAGCCACCACCAGCCAUCUCCAAAUCUCUAGAAGCCGUCCUGGCCACGGUCGUCCAGCCCACAGCCACCAUACACCCCUACAUUCCCUGGUGUGUUGGGGGGGCGCACAGUCUUCACACGCUGGUUCUCAUUUUUUGGCAGUGUAGCCGGAAAGUAGACCACCAGAUGGAAAUAAGAGUUCAGGAGACUCUCAUAUCAAUAUUUUUUUUUUUUUUUUAUAUACAAAGGCUUUCUUGUAAUCUUCUCAUAUGUACAUCAAAUACAAUAAAAUGUUUUCCUUAUAAAUCUUGUACAUUGCUUGCCUUCCUCAGAAAUUCAAAUAUAUAACUCCAUUCAUAA